RNAcentral lists this ribosomal RNA (253 nucleotides) under uncultured bacterium. RNAcentral's name for it is "partial 16S ribosomal RNA". It matches the Rfam family "Bacterial small subunit ribosomal RNA", at positions 524 to 776 of the family's 1533-position model. The record is from RNAcentral.
UACAGAGGUCUCAAGCGUUGUUCGGAUUCAUUGGGCGUAAAGCGCGCGCAGGCGGCUCGGAAAGUCGGGUGUGAAAACUCGGGGCUCAACCCCGGGCGUGCAUCCGAUACUGCCGGGCUUGAGGCAGGUAGGGGAGAUCGGAAUUCCUGGUGUAGCGGUGAAAUGCGCAGAUAUCAGGAGGAACACCGGUGGCGAAGGCGGAUCUCUGGGCCUGUCCUGACGCUGAGGCGCGAAAGCUAGGGGAGCGAACAGG